GCCCCCGUCGAUUAAAGGAUAAAUCAGCGGACUUCUAUACCGCCAAUCCCGGUCCGAAUCCGGGCGGGGGCUCCA
Molecule: transfer RNA, 75 nt
Filed under: Candidatus Vogelbacteria bacterium
Lineage: Bacteria; Candidatus Vogeliibacteriota
Description: tRNA-Arg
Rfam family: tRNA
About the family: Transfer RNA (tRNA) molecules are approximately 80 nucleotides in length. Their secondary structure includes four short double-helical elements and three loops (D, anti-codon, and T loops).
Source: RNAcentral